Non-coding RNA from Oncorhynchus mykiss (rainbow trout), 1763 nucleotides. NCBI's taxonomy places the organism in Eukaryota, Metazoa, Chordata, Actinopteri, Salmoniformes, Salmonidae. The record is from RefSeq and is a predicted model, not a curated record.
AAAUGGGGAGAAGUCUGUCCAUAAUAAAGCACUGCUCUGCCUUCUUAACAACACUAUCAACAAGGUAGGUCCUACAGGCCCUGUUUUUUUGUCGCUCCUGGGCCCUGUUUCAGAAAGCAGGUUUAACAAACUCUGAGUUUAAACCUGGACUCUGAGCUGUCAAACUCUGAGUUUUCUUUUCAGAACAGCUGAUAACAAUUAGUUCAAUCAACUCUGUUAAAUUAACCCUGAGUAAAGCACGUGCAUGAGGAGCUAAAAAGCCCUCAUCAAUGGAACACAGAUAACAUGAUUCAUCAUCACAACAGGAUAAAAAAAUGAUCGAACCUCCUACUUCUCUCUAGUGGAGUUAGAAAUAUGAAUACAUUGUAACGACCCUGGGUUUAUAAGCGCGGACAUCGACUCUGCCGCACGAGCAUGCUUUUGCGGCAUAGUCGAUAGCGCGCCGGACCUCGAGCUCGAAGGUCGGGGGUUCGAGACCUGCUCCCUGCUGUUACAUUACAAAAUAUUUAAGAAAAAAAGUAACAACAGCAAAAUAACGUGAGCUGGCGUGGCAGAAAAUUGCUGACCGAGUCAAUGUGUGCAACCCAACAUGCAGAAAACGUACUUGGCAUCAACUGAAGAUGAAAUAUUUAAAAAAUAUACUUCAAACGGCCAAUAGAAAAAAGGCUGAGGGCUGAAGAAAAGGUGGGGGUCCACCACCACUCCCGAGGCUAAAGAGAUGGCCCUCAGUCAAAACAGUGGGAGACCUGUUGCUAAAGGCAUCUCUGGAGGAACCUCAUCUGACCCAACCACCCCAAGGGUGGGCCUACCUAAGAGGUUACUUAUUAAAAUGAAUAAUCUAUGUACAUUCAUCCUUUUGCCACAGUGUUACCUCAGUGAUUCCCACCCAUCCAUCUUAGACACUACUUGGCACAAGGAUUUUCUUGCAGCGAUACAAUUCUAUGUAAUUGACUGCUGUUACUUUUUCAGAUUCUUAGUUGUCCUUCAGACAUCAUAAUCUAUUUUAAGGUAACUCUUGAGUUAUUUAUUUGAAAUUCGGAUGUGGCCUGCACACUGUAAAAACAAAAUUCAAACUAUGUGUGGCACUUUUCUGGGUAAAGUUAUUAUUUAACUGUCUAAUCUUCAUCUGCUACCAGCUACUGAUGGUGUAAUCUGUCUGGUGGAGCCUUCUGCCAUAACAGACCUCCAUGCAGUUGUAAGUACUCUUAGUACUCCACAGAUUUUUCAUAAUGGGUUAGAGUAGAACGCCAACAUUGUUAGUUUUCAUUACAGGAGAAUGAUGAAGACACCUUGUUAGCUGCCACAGGGAGGGAAGCUACAGAGAGGCCUAUUGAGGUAAAAAUAACAGCUAACAGUUGAUGAGUGUUAUACCAUAAUAAAACGUGCACCUUUUUCCUCUAACAGAGCAAUGCUGGAAAUUACAAUGAGGAAGAGGGUCCAUCCACCUCCACAGUACAACUUACGUAAGAUGUUAUUCAGCAUUUGCCCAUGAUUUACAAUGAAACUAAGUAGACCUGGCACUGUGAAAUUCAAUGUCAUUUUUUUGUGUUCCUAUAGUUCCCUGUGAAACAGCUGUACUUAGAGAAACAAAUUUAAACAUGUAAUUUAGAAAUUGACCACAUAAGGCUGCAGAUGCAAGAACAUAGAAAUACAACAGCUGGAACAUCAGUUAAAGGUGGGUGAGGUGCCCACAGGUGGAUGAUUUUACUUGGUUGAACAACAUAAAUAUUAACUACUGUACUGCAUUUGCACUGGCAAGAAAU